RNAcentral lists this ribosomal RNA (253 nucleotides) under uncultured bacterium. Its description in RNAcentral is "partial 16S ribosomal RNA". It matches the Rfam family "Bacterial small subunit ribosomal RNA", at positions 524 to 776 of the family's 1533-position model. The record is from RNAcentral.
UACGUAGGGUGCAAGCGUUAAUCGGAAUUACUGGGCGUAAAGCGUGCGCAGGCGGUUCGCUAAGUCAGUUGUGAAAUCCCCGGGCUUAACCUGGGAACUGCAUUUGUGACUGGCGGGCUAGAGUAUGGCAGAGGGGGGUAGAAUUCCACGUGUAGCAGUGAAAUGCGUAGAGAUGUGGAGGAAUACCGAUGGCGAAGGCAGCCCCCUGGGCCAAUACUGACGCUCAUGCACGAAAGCGUGGGGAGCAAACAGG